This 496-nucleotide long non-coding RNA is filed under the name Ananas comosus (pineapple). Its description in RNAcentral is "long non-coding RNA (ACOM_LNC031889)". The record is from RNAcentral. Lineage: Eukaryota; Viridiplantae; Streptophyta; Magnoliopsida; Poales; Bromeliaceae.
UUGAGCUCCUAUGUUUUUAAAGGCACCGAGUCAUUGGCGCUUGUAAGCUUUUGGCAUUUGGAUGAAGAUUAAUUUAUAGGAUUAGAAUGAUAGUAGUUUUAUACGGUUGAGUGGCUGAUCGAUUUGCUCAAAGAGAUAAGAUCUAACGGUGGAAAGCUUACAAGUACCAAAUACUUCGUGCUUUUAAAAGCGCCAUAGCCGGAUUCAUGGGAGAGUGUUUAUUUAUGCAAUUUAGUAUAUUAGCAGCAUUUUGUGUGCAAAAUAAUCAAAAAAAAAAAAACGAACAAUGCUACUUAUACAUGACUAAAAAUAUAUAUUUUAUAUAGUAUAUCCAUCUAAUUUGUCAUCUCACAUGAUUAGUAAAUCUGUUCCACCAUAGUCAAGAUAUACAUGAUGCUCCACUUUUCAGGAGACCAUCUAUUUUAGGACUAUUCUAAUUUCAACACACUUAAAUUUUUUGAACUUUAUAGAUUUAACUACCGUCCAAAAUAUUAUA